UACGAAGGGUGCAAGCGUUACUCGGAAUUACUGGGCGUAAAGCGUGCGUAGGUGGUGAGUUAAGUCUGUCGUGAAAGCCCCGGGCUCAACCUGGGAAUGGCGAUGGAUACUGGCUCGCUAGAGUGCGGUAGAGGAGAGUGGAAUUCCCGGUGUAGCAGUGAAAUGCGUAGAUAUCGGGAGGAACACCUGCGGUGUAGACGGCUUUCUGGACCAUUGUUGACGCUGAGACACGAAAGCGUGGGUAGCAAACAGG
RNAcentral lists this ribosomal RNA (253 nucleotides) under uncultured bacterium. Its description in RNAcentral is "partial 16S ribosomal RNA". It matches the Rfam family "Bacterial small subunit ribosomal RNA", at positions 524 to 776 of the family's 1533-position model. The record is from RNAcentral.